ACAUGCCUACAACAUAGCGUUAAUGCACUAGAUCCCAUUAGAACUCCGCAUUUAAGUGCACUUAGGCUAUAGCAGUAUUGGGAUGGGUGACCGCCCGAGAAGUCCUAGUUUUUUACAUGCC
Molecule: non-coding RNA, 121 nt
Organism: Picea glauca (white spruce)
Lineage: Eukaryota; Viridiplantae; Streptophyta; Pinopsida; Pinales; Pinaceae
Source: Rfam